UACGGGGGGGCAAGCGUUGUUCGGAAUUACUGGGCGUAAAGCGCACGUAGGCGGCUUGGCAAGUCGGAUGUGAAAUCCCUCGGCUCAACCAAGGAAGUGCAUCCGAAACUGCCGAGCUUGAGUACUUAAGAGGAUCGCGGAAUUCCCGGUGUAGAGGUGAAAUUCGUAGAUAUCGGGAGGAACACCAGUGGCGAAGGCGGCGAUCUGGGAAGAUACUGACGCUGAGGUGCGAAAGCGUGGGGAGCAAACAGG
RNAcentral lists this ribosomal RNA (252 nucleotides) under uncultured bacterium. RNAcentral's name for it is "partial 16S ribosomal RNA". It matches the Rfam family "Bacterial small subunit ribosomal RNA", at positions 524 to 776 of the family's 1533-position model. The record is from RNAcentral.